GCCAGGCGCGGUGGCACAUGCCUGUAAUCCCAACAGCUCGGAGGCUGAGGCAGGAGGAUCGAAGUUCAGAGCCAGCCUCAGCAAUGGCGAGGCGCUAAGCAACUCAGUGAGACCCUGUCUCUA
Molecule: small RNA, 123 nt
Filed under: Marmota monax (woodchuck)
Lineage: Eukaryota; Metazoa; Chordata; Mammalia; Rodentia; Sciuridae
Source: RNAcentral